This 86-nucleotide small nucleolar RNA is filed under the name Brassica napus (rape). RNAcentral describes it as "snoRNA snoZ122". It matches the Rfam family "Small nucleolar RNA Z122". From Rfam's summary of the family: Z122 is a member of the C/D class of snoRNA which contain the C (UGAUGA) and D (CUGA) box motifs. Most of the members of the box C/D family function in directing site-specific 2'-O-methylation of substrate RNAs. The record is from Rfam by way of RNAcentral. Lineage: Eukaryota; Viridiplantae; Streptophyta; Magnoliopsida; Brassicales; Brassicaceae.
UUUGGGAAUUGAUGAUAAGAUAUAUCAAUAUGUCAUAGGCAUAUGCAAUGCUGAAUAACAUAUUUGCACGUCAGUCUGAUCCCAUU